Lolium perenne is the source of this 1752-nucleotide non-coding RNA. Lineage: Eukaryota; Viridiplantae; Streptophyta; Magnoliopsida; Poales; Poaceae. The record is from RefSeq and is a predicted model, not a curated record.
AAGUAGUGGGAGAAGACGCUACAUCCAUGGUAGGCGUAUGCGCUGGUGAUGUGCUCUGCUUCUCUCCUCUGUGCUCAACACGAGAAUGACACUUCCAGCUCAGCAGGGAAAGUGUUAGCAUAUACAGUGAAUAAUGGUUACGUAAGUCCAAAUUAUUCAGUUUGGUGAUUCUGGCCAUAUAACUUAUGGUUACUGAUGUUGUCCAUUGUCAGGUCCCUUUCGAAGCUCCUUUUCUUUCUCUCUUUAUCCUCGAAGCAUGUCCAUUUUCAAUAUUGUCAAUGCUUUGUUUCAUGACCUGAAGCGGAGGUUUUUACACUGCAAUUCAGAUUGAUUUGGUUCAAGAUAGUAUUUGGGUUAUCAUUCCCGGCCCUUGCAAUUUUACGUUGGUAUUAUAAUUACAAUAUAGGAUUGGACGAUACAUUCUUUUAUGGUUUGAACAACCCGCCUCUUAACACUGGCAUGCUUAUUAAUACUUCCUUAGAAUAUUAUUUUUAUAAAUAAGGGUUGAUGCACAGAAUUUAUCAGCCUGGCUAACGGUUCUAUCGACAUGUAUUUUAUACAUUUAUUUGCGAGUUCAUAGUUUUGCAGUCAAAAGUUUGGAUUAGCAUUCCCCACAGCUUUUACAUUGGGAUUGUAAUCGCAGUAUAGGGAGCCGAGUUGUGCCUUUCGCCAAGUCUGCCAUGUUGAUGUGAUAUGUAAAUAUGUUUUCCAUAAUGUCAAGCAUAUAUUUUAUCUUACCGGAGGUUGGUUUCACAUUGUUUUUAAUGAAUGAGUUGCACAGGAUCAAAGAAUAUAAAAACAGAAGAACAAGGUCUAUAUUUGCAACAUACUCUCUUCUUACUUUAUUAUUGACAUAUUAAAGGAGAUAUUAAAUUCUUGUGCACUUUGUAAGGAACUGGGUGCUUUGAAGCAGUAGUAUAUUGAGCGCCACCAGGUAAUCAUCCUUAUUUUGGUCGUGGUUGAACUGCUGCUGCAUACGAAAAUAGUCAUAUUAUUUAGUACACAUUAAUUUGAUAUACAGUGGUUACUAUCUUUUAUCAAGAUUGUUUCUGCCUUCAAACAUUAUGUAUGUUCAUUACCAUGCUUCAUGGUGUUGUGGAGUAGUGUUUCAUAAGAUAUGUAAUGAUUCAUGAUUGUUUAUGUUUUAACUCUGCACUCAGAGAUAAAUGUUUUUUGGCAAUCGCUGAGAUAUAUGAUUUAAUUUCGCGUGGGGAGGAGAAGAGAAGAGAAAUAGGCAGAUAUAUGGGAAAAUUUCUAAAUACAUGCAUCUGGUGUGCCAUUGUUUUUUCAGAUUCUGAUCACCUGCCUCUUGUUACUGAAGCUUGAGGGAGAGGUUCAUCUUUCUGACUUUUGGCGCCCUACCGGGCCUCUUCGCCGGCUCUCCAUCCUCACUACACUGUCGCCUCCGUCUCCUUCUGCCUCUCCUACACCUCCCGAAACAAGCGAAUGAUAAUAUCAUUGCCUCACCUCCGGCCACGAAAAGGCCAUGGUGCUUAUCAUGCUUAUUGAUUUCUUCCUAUGCAUGCCAGUAAUAUGCAUCUGAUUGUUAUUUUUCAUUUCUAGAGGUCUAUGUUUCUUUGCUGCACAAAACCUAUUUAUAGAAGCUUGUCUCAUCUGAACAUUUGACUUAUUUGUGAGACAUUUCAUUAAUUAUAUUAUUUAAAUUUGUAGUGAUUGUAUAUACAGUUCUAUUUGGAAGAUGUGUUUUCUGUUUUUCUUUUGAUAUGUACCAGAUGAGAAAGUAUUUGUUAA